This 323-nucleotide ribosomal RNA is filed under the name uncultured eukaryote. RNAcentral's name for it is "partial 18S ribosomal RNA". It matches the Rfam family "Eukaryotic small subunit ribosomal RNA", at positions 1470 to 1796 of the family's 1831-position model. The record is from RNAcentral.
CCCUUAGAUGUUCUGGGCUGCACGCGUGCUACACUGAUAUUGCAAAUAUGUCAUUCUUAUCCGAAAUGGAUUGGGUAAUCAAGUAAUGAAAUUUCAUGCUUGGAAUCGGUAAUUGCAAUUUUAUCGUGAACGAGGAAUUCCUAGUAAGCACUAGUCAUCAGCUAAUGUUGAUUAUGUCCCUGCCCUUUGUACACACCGCCCGUCGCUACUACUGAUUGGGUGUUCAAGUGAGAUGCUUAGACCCUUGUUGCAUGGUUCAUUAUUGUGCUCCGAAAGGAAAAAGUUUCAAGCUUGAGUGUCUAGAGGAAGUAAAAGUCGUAACA